CCUGAGAGGGUGAUCGGCCACACUGGAACUGAGACACGGUCCAGACUCCUACGGGAGGCAGAAGUAGGGAAUCUUCCGCAAUGGGCGAAAGCCUGACGGAGCAACGCCGCGAGAGUGAUGAAGGUCUUCGGAUCGUAAAACUCUGUUAUUAGGGAAGAACAUAUGUGUAAGUAACUGUGAACAUCUUGACGGUACCUAAUCAGAAAGCCACGGCUAACUACGUGCCAGCAGCCGCGGUUAUACGUAGGUGGCAAGCGUUAUCCGGAUUUAUUGGGCGUAAAGCGCGCGUAGGCGGUUUUU
This 300-nucleotide ribosomal RNA is filed under the name Staphylococcus aureus. RNAcentral describes it as "bacterial SSU rRNA". It matches the Rfam family "Bacterial small subunit ribosomal RNA", at positions 291 to 583 of the family's 1533-position model. The record is from RNAcentral. Lineage: Bacteria; Bacillati; Bacillota; Bacilli; Caryophanales; Staphylococcaceae.